This 253-nucleotide ribosomal RNA is filed under the name uncultured bacterium. RNAcentral's name for it is "partial 16S ribosomal RNA". It matches the Rfam family "Bacterial small subunit ribosomal RNA", at positions 524 to 776 of the family's 1533-position model. The record is from RNAcentral.
UACGAAGGGGGCUAGCGUUGUUCGGAAUUACUGGGCGUAAAGCGCACGUAGGCGGAUUUGUAAGUCAGGGGUGAAAUCCCGGGGCUCAACCUCGGAACUGCCUUUGAUACUGCGCUUCUCGAGCACGGAAGAGGUGAGUAGAAUUCCUAGUGUAGAGGUGAAAUUCGUAGAUAUUAGGAAGAACACCAGUGGCGAAGGCGGCUCACUGGUCCGUUGCUGACGCCGAGGUGCGAAAGCGUGGGGAGCAAACAGG